RNAcentral lists this ribosomal RNA (500 nucleotides) under uncultured bacterium. RNAcentral's name for it is "partial 16S ribosomal RNA". It matches the Rfam family "Bacterial small subunit ribosomal RNA", at positions 30 to 523 of the family's 1533-position model. The record is from RNAcentral.
AUUGAACGCUGGCGGAAUGCUUUACACAUGCAAGUCGAACGGCAGCACGGACUUCGGUCUGGUGGCGAGUGGCGAACGGGUGAGUAAUGAAUCGGAACGUGCCCAGUCGUGGGGGAUAACGUAGUGAAAAUUACGCUAAUACCGCAUACGAUCUAUGGAUGAAAGCGGGGGAUAGCAAGACCUCGCGCGAUUGGAGCGGCCGAUAUCAGAUUAGGUAGUUGGUGGGGUAAAGGCCCACCAAGCCAACGAUCCGUAGCUGGUCUGAGAGGACGACCAGCAACACUGGAACUGAGACACGGUCCAGACUCCUACGGGAGUCAGCAGUGGGGAAUUUUGGACAAUGGGCGAAGGCCUGAUCCAGCCAUUCCGCGUGCAGGAUGAAGGCCCUCGGGUUGUAAACUGCUUUUGUACAGAACGAAAAGGUUUCUACUAAUACUAGGAGCUCAUGACGGUACUGUAAGAAUAAGCACCGGCUAACUACGUGCCAGCCGCCGCCGUAA